UGGCUCAGAUUGAACGCUGGCGGCAGGCCUAACACAUGCAAGUCGAGCGGUAGCACAGAGAGCUUGCUCUCGGGUGACGAGCGGCGGACGGGUGAGUAAUGUCUGGGAAACUGCCUGAUGGAGGGGGAUAACUACUGGAAACGGUAGCUAAUACCGCAUAACGUCGCAAGACCAAAGUGGGGGACCUUCGGGCCUCAUGCCAUCAGAUGUGCCCAGAUGGGAUUAGCUAGUAGGUGGGGUAACGGCUCACCUAGGCGACGAUCCCUAGCUGGUCUGAGAGGAUGACCAGCCACACUGGAACUGAGACACGGUCCAGACUCCUACGGGAGGCAGCAGUGGGGAAUAUUGCACAAUGGGCGCAAGCCUGAUGCAGCCAUGCCGCGUGUGUGAAGAAGGCCUUCGGGUUGUAAAGCACUUUCAGCGGGGAGGAAGGCGGUGAGGUUAAUAACCUUGUCGAUUGACGUUACCCGCAGAAGAAGCACCGGCUAACUCCGUGCCAGCAGCCGCGGUAAUACGGAGGGUGCAAGCGUUAAUCGGAAUUACUGGGCGUAAAGCGCACGCAGGCGGUCUGUCAAGUCGGAUGUGAAAUCCCCGGGCUCAACCUGGGAACUGCAUUCGAAACUGGCAGGCUAGAGUCUUGUAGAGGGGGGUAGAAUUCCAGGUGUAGCGGUGAAAUGCGUAGAGAUCUGGAGGAAUACCGGUGGCGAAGGCGGCCCCCUGGACAAAGACUGACGCUCAGGUGCGAAAGCGUGGGGAGCAAACAGGAUUAGAUACCCUGGUAGUCCACGCUGUAAACGAUGUCGAUUUGGAGGUUGUGCCCUUGAGGCGUGGCUUCCGGAGCUAACGCGUUAAAUCGACCGCCUGGGGAGUACGGCCGCAAGGUUAAAACUCAAAUGAAUUGACGGGGGCCCGCACAAGCGGUGGAGCAUGUGGUUUAAUUCGAUGCAACGCGAAGAACCUUACCUGGUCUUGACAUCCACAGAACUUUCCAGAGAUGGAUUGGUGCCUUCGGGAACUGUGAGACAGGUGCUGCAUGGCUGUCGUCAGCUCGUGUUGUGAAAUGUUGGGUUAAGUCCCGCAACGAGCGCAACCCUUAUCCUUUGUUGCCAGCGGUUCGGCCGGGAACUCAAAGGAGACUGCCAGUGAUAAACUGGAGGAAGGUGGGGAUGACGUCAAGUCAUCAUGGCCCUUACGACCAGGGCUACACACGUGCUACAAUGGCAUAUACAAAGAGAAGCGACCUCGCGAGAGCAAGCGGACCUCAUAAAGUAUGUCGUAGUCCGGAUUGGAGUCUGCAACUCGACUCCAUGAAGUCGGAAUCGCUAGUAAUCGUAGAUCAGAAUGCUACGGUGAAUACGUUCCCGGGCCUUGUACACACCGCCCGUCACACCAUGGGAGUGGGUUGCAAAAGAAGUAGGUAGCUUAACCUUCGGGAGGGCGCUUACCACUUUGUGAUUCAUGACUGGGGU
RNAcentral lists this ribosomal RNA (1469 nucleotides) under Klebsiella sp. RNAcentral's name for it is "bacterial SSU rRNA". It matches the Rfam family "Bacterial small subunit ribosomal RNA". The record is from RNAcentral. Lineage: Bacteria; Pseudomonadati; Pseudomonadota; Gammaproteobacteria; Enterobacterales; Enterobacteriaceae.